This 631-nucleotide ribosomal RNA is filed under the name Pseudoalteromonas sp. TA32. Its description in RNAcentral is "bacterial SSU rRNA". It matches the Rfam family "Bacterial small subunit ribosomal RNA", at positions 144 to 775 of the family's 1533-position model. The record is from RNAcentral. Lineage: Bacteria; Pseudomonadati; Pseudomonadota; Gammaproteobacteria; Alteromonadales; Pseudoalteromonadaceae.
CAACCGUUGGNAACGACGGCUAAUACCGCAUAAUGUCUACGGACCAAAGGGGGCUUCGGCUCUCGCCUUUAGAUUGGCCCAAGUGGGAUUAGCUAGUUGGUGAGGUAAUGGCUCACCAAGGCGACGAUCCCUAGCUGGUUUGAGAGGAUGAUCAGCCACACUGGGACUGAGACACGGCCCAGACUCCUACGGGAGGCAGCAGUGGGGAAUAUUGCACAAUGGGCGCAAGCCUGAUGCAGCCAUGCCGCGUGUGUGAAGAAGGCCUUCGGGUUGUAAAGCACUUUCAGCAAGGAGGAAAGGGUGUUAGUUAAUACCUUANCAUCUGUGACGUUACUUGCAGAAGAAGCACCGGCUAACUCCGUGCCAGCAGCCGCGGUAAUACGGAGGGUGCGAGCGUUAAUCGGAAUUACUGGGCGUAAAGCGUACGCAGGCGGUUUGUUAAGCGAGAUGUGAAAGCCCCGGGCUUAACCUGGGAACUGCAUUUCGAACUGGCAGGCUAGAGUGUGAUAGAGGGUGGUAGAAUUUCAGGUGUAGCGGUGAAAUGCGUAGAGAUCUGAAGGAAUACCGAUGGCGAAGGCAGCCACCUGGGUCAACACUGACGCUCAUGUACGAAAGCGUGGGGAGCAAACAG